RNAcentral lists this long non-coding RNA (777 nucleotides) under Mytilus galloprovincialis (Mediterranean mussel). Lineage: Eukaryota; Metazoa; Mollusca; Bivalvia; Mytilida; Mytilidae. The record is from RNAcentral.
AUGGGAAAUAAUUGGCCACUUCCGGUUUGUUGGAAGUCAUGUUUAGUCUCCAGUAAUCAGUUUAUGUAUCUAUAUGACAAAAUAUAUGGAUUCUGAGUACUUUUGAGAUGAAAAAAUUGCAAAAAAGGCUACUUCCGGUUUUCUCAAGGUCACUUCCGGUAGUCAUUUUUCAAGGUCAUUUGUCACCUAAUCUUUUGUACAAGGUCAAAUGCCUUUAUAAUGAACUUAGUUGAAGUCAUAAUCAAAUAACCUCAUAUCAAGACAUUUGAGGGGCAACAACUCCUAUAAGAUGCCAUUAAAUUGUAUAAGACUAAAUGUAGCAUAUCUUCAUUACAAUAAAGCUUACAUUUUGCACUUGUUCUUUAGUAUGUAUCUUUCAAAGUGUCGGAGAAAAUGCAAAAACAAGCAAAAGUCACAAUUGAGAACUUGACCUUGACCUUUGACCUUGACCUCAUUUUCUAAGUUAGGACCUAGGGGACUCAAAUAAAAACAUUCCAGGGUUAUACGGUUAACUGUUUAUGAGUUAAAUGAACAUACCGACAAAUUUAUUUUGUUAAGGGAGAUAACUCCAUAAAAAUUUCAUCGAAUCGCUUCGAUCCAAAUAAGCCAAAAAUUACUGAGGAUGUAACGAACAAUUUGUAAAAAGAAUUUUGUCGAUAUCUUUUUUUGUUACGAAGGAGAUGCACACAGAUGAAAAACAGUGAAUAGGGAGAUAACUUUUACAAAGAAAAUGGUUCGGCUUAGCAGGGUGAAAUUUAAAAGCGCAUAAACUAUACG